CCUACGGGAGGCAGCAGUGAGGAAUAUUGGUCAAUGGACGCGAGUCUGAACCAGCCAAGUAGCGUGAAGGAUGACGGCCCUAUGGGUUGUAAACUUCUUUUAUAAAGGAAUAAAACGGGGCUCGUGUGCCUAGUAGUCUGUGCUUUAUUAAUAACCAGCGGCCAACUUUGUGCGAGCAGCCGCGGUAAUAUGGAGGUUCCGAGCGUGUUCCGGAUUUAUUGGGUGUAAGGGGAGCGUAGAUGGGUGUUUAAGUCAGUUGUGAAAGUGUGCGGCUCAACCGUGGAAUUGCAAUUGAUACUGGCAGUCUUGAGUACAGUCGAGGUAGACGGAAUUCAUGGUGUAGCGGUGAAAUGCUUAGAUAUCACGAAGAACCCCGAUUGCGAAGGCAGCUUUCUAGACUGUAACUGACAUUGAGGCUCGAAAGUGUGGGUAUCAAACAGGAUUAGAUACCCUGGUAGUC
This 460-nucleotide ribosomal RNA is filed under the name uncultured bacterium. Its description in RNAcentral is "partial 16S ribosomal RNA". It matches the Rfam family "Bacterial small subunit ribosomal RNA", at positions 338 to 795 of the family's 1533-position model. The record is from RNAcentral.